AAAAAUGUGUGCAUAUAUUAAAUAUCUAUUAGAACGAAUUCAAUAUAGUACAAUUCUACCGUACAAAUUCACCAACAUAACUGCAAUACAGAUAUAUGAGCAUCCAUGAGUUAACGAAUGAAAUACUACUCUACCUUUUUUUUUUGCGGGUUGAAUGAAAUACUACUUGUCUAUACACGACCACUUUCACAAGCUAUACUUCAUAUAGAGAGAGGUAUCUUCGACCAAAUAAUUGUAUUUGAUAGAUAAUUAGGACAAACUGAUAUUUAUUCACAUGGUUCUUCUUCCGCGAGCACGAGCAGACCAUUCACCCCCUAGAAAAUGCCUUGCCUGAAAAGUCAAAUAACGAAAUUCUUAGAAUCGAUGCACGCGCGCCGUUGUUUUCGCGUCACAGUCAUGCCGAAACUAGUAGUACGAACUAUACAUAAACAUGCAGCAAGGAUUAUAUAAGCCCAUCGCCAUGAACAGCUAAAUAAGGUUCCGAAGAAAAACAGCUAAUUAAGCAUGAUCGAUCGACAGAUACAAGAGUUGAUUCCUAGCUAGGUUGGUUGACUCACCUGUUGGCCCUGUCGUUUUACCACCAGUACUUGCAUCAUCGGCUUUGUACGUCUGUCUUGAUUCGUGAGAGUUGCUGCCGUUGCUCGACGCAGAGGUCGUCGUCGUCGACAACGCUUUACCUGCUUUACGGAGCGCAGGAUUGCAAAAGGCGUCAAGAAAGUGUGCACGAAAGCAUCCGAGACCACAAACCGUCGAAUAGAAAUUAAGGUAUUACCAGAAAGGUGCAGGAUCUGAUAAAGGGAGAACCAUCCUAUCCAUGCAUGCACAUGCACGUAUCACGUAUGCUCAAGAGUUGAUCGGAUGAGUGACACUCACUAACCUGCACUAGGCGACGGCGCCGUUUGGCCUGCCUCCGCCGGAGCAUAUGGACGUCGAUCAUCAUACUGGCCGGAAGACCCUGGCAUUGGAGGCACAGAUCUACUUGGCCCUGCAUACAUAUGUAUUUAUGGAGAAUAUGUUAAUACUAUAUCAGAGUUGAUCAUUACUAGCUUACUCCGAUCGUGCGAUGGGCGAAUUGGAUAUCUGGAGGCGCUGGCUCACCCUUCCCCGACAUGCUCAGUCUUGGAAACCUUCGUGUCCGGGUGUUUUCGGCUAGCUGUGUCGUUUGAGUUAAUUUGGUGCUAACUGCUUUCAACAUUCGUGGGCUACCCCAUGGAGUAUAUAUACAAUGGAGAGACGGUAAAAUC
Molecule: long non-coding RNA, 1244 nt
Filed under: Hordeum vulgare
Lineage: Eukaryota; Viridiplantae; Streptophyta; Magnoliopsida; Poales; Poaceae
Description: long non-coding RNA (HVUL_LNC013443)
Source: RNAcentral